GCAAGCCAAUCAGUUGUUGCAUUCUAGGAUCCUUCCUAGAAUGCAACAACUGAUUGGCUUGCA
Molecule: microRNA precursor, 63 nt
Filed under: Podarcis lilfordi (Lilford's wall lizard)
Lineage: Eukaryota; Metazoa; Chordata; Lepidosauria; Squamata; Lacertidae
Source: RNAcentral